This 2158-nucleotide long non-coding RNA is filed under the name Homo sapiens (human). RNAcentral's name for it is "novel transcript". The record is from RNAcentral. Lineage: Eukaryota; Metazoa; Chordata; Mammalia; Primates; Hominidae.
GACCACCAGUAGUGAUAGGGCUUGCUUUACUCAAGGAGGAAGUCCUUAACAACUCGAUCUACCCAGGCAAACACAACAAUCAUUCAGCUUUUUGUUUCAUUUUUUCCUUAACCUAUCACCAUGAAACAAAAUACACACAUAUAGAAAUGAGCAAAGAGCUUUAAAUACUAGCUGCCCAAGAGAUGCUUAGCCUCCUGUUCCAGCCACUGGAGUUGAGGGGUGGAGGCACGUGAUGUCACGGAAAGGGAAUGCUCGCUAGUCUUCAAGCAGUCCCCUAAGGGAUCUUUGAUCUCAGGCUGAAUGGAGGAAGAAGAGCUUUUCUAGUUGACGCCUGUCACAGAGAUCUGAUGAAGUCAAUGUAAAUGAGUCCGCAGAAGCUUGAUAGCCUAUAGAAGUCCUUGAAAAUCCCGAAUGGCACGAGAAGGUUGAAAACUAGUCAAGAUGCUGAUAUCUUCAAGAAGUUAAAUAUAACCUAAAAAAAUUAUUUGUCACAGAAUAAGGUUGGUUUAAAAAAUUGUAAAGGGGAGGAGAGUGGAGAUUCAAGCCUAGAGAGGAAGGCUGAAUAAGAAGAAAGUAAUUGUGAAGUCAACUGUAAAAUAUUUCCUGGGUCUCACCUGGUAAAUCCACACGGGCUUCCUGAAAGAGGAAGGCUAGAGUUACUUUUGAGUUGCCUUUCAAAUGAUAAGCAGGGUCCUUGAGUAAACAGGAAAUGAAAGACUCGAGAGAGUAGCUGAGGAAGGAUGCAGAAGUGAAAAGGAGAGGGGAGCCAUCAGCACCCCAGAUUUAAUUUGAUGGAGAAUUUUCUCUAUUUGUUUAUGUGUGUGCCCGUCUUUAUUAGACUGUCUGUUUGCCUUUCAAGGGCUGGGACUGUGCCUCAUUCACCUUCAUAUUCUAGUAUAAUGCAAGCUUAGGAAAUUAUUGUCUAAAUACAUACACUCAGACAUAAAUGGAUGAGAGUAAGAAUAAAGGCAUAAGUGGUGGUAUUUAGCAGCAGCCUUGGCUGUGAGCUUAAGACUGUUUUUUGUGACCUGCCAUCUUCCUUUGCGCAACAACACAGCUCAUGAUGAUGUUCCAGAGCAUUUUGCCACCAGAAAAUGAGGCUUGCUUUUGGUCUUUUGAAGGAAGACUGCAGUGAACAGUUAAAUUGACUUUAAAUUUAGCAGCAUUGGGCAAGAAUAGAAAUGUUCUAAUCCUGUCUCCUCCUACGGAAUGUGAAUUGUGGUCAAAGUAAUAUGUUUUUGCCUUCUGUGAUUUCGAUCAAAUUUCAUAGGCCAGACAGGGCGUAGGGAGCCAGGCUGCACAGCCACUCUCCCUGGUAAACAGUGUCACACCUCCCUUGGACAGCCCAGGGUACCAUGUGUGCCCUGGCGUUACAGACACCUCACCAGGGCUUGUCUGUUCUCCCUGCCUUGUUUCUCAGCCCAGUGUUCAUGUGGAGUUUGGCUUCCUCUUCUUAGAACUGGGAAAGGCAACGCUGUGCAGGUGUGAGAGGUACAUACACAUGCGCCCAGAAGAUGCUGCCCCAGAAAAACAUACCCAGGGCCUGUAUUUGACUCAGAGUUUAAGGUCUUACUUUUCAUUAGAAAAUAAGAUCACUAGCUCUAAAAUUUCCACUGGGGAAGACUGGGUUGGCUUAGCAGGGCAGUGCUAUCUGAUGGGCAGCUGUAUUCUAUAAAGUAGAUGAGGGAAGAUGACAGAAUGGCAUGUCUGUGGGCAGAAAGCAGAAGGGAAAUUGGCUUCCCUUCAUAGGCCACUAAGGAAAGGGUUAUCCAGUGGCCUGCUGGAUUUGACACUAUCUGCCUGCCACAUCUGAGCUCAGCAUUUUUGCUUUGACACGCAUGGGUCAUUCUACCCAUUGAGCUUCAGCAAUUCCCUAUUACAGAUGCUUAUUGGCAACAGAAUCUUAAGUCCAAUAAAGGAGCAAAGAGAUUUUACUUUGGAAGGAAAUACUAUGGAUUCUUCAGUCAUUCAGAGGCCUCACCUCCUCCCUUAAUGAGUGCUCCCAAUGUAAAGGUAUAAUGACUGGCUAACUAAAUGCUUUGGGGGUAUAGGAAUGAGGACACACAUCUAGAAAAGUGGAUUUUAGAAGAAGAAAAGACAGUAUAAUGAAAACAAGUUUAAGAAAGAGCAAAAAUAAAAUUUGACUUAUGUAUAUCAA